Molecule: non-coding RNA, 872 nt
Organism: Elaeis guineensis (African oil palm)
Lineage: Eukaryota; Viridiplantae; Streptophyta; Magnoliopsida; Arecales; Arecaceae
Source: RefSeq, a predicted model, not a curated record
AUGAGAGGCUACCACGUGUCCUAAAAAAAGAAUGAGAAGAGGCCAGCGAGGGAGGAAAACCAGCGGACAACGCAGGCCAUCUAAUGCUUUGCGAUGAUGGUCUUCCCACAGCACAAUGCUUCGUCAUCCCCUCAAAACCAGCCGACCCCCUCGACGGUGAACCUCUCCAAGCUCAAGCGCUCCAAUUCCAAACGUCAUCAUUCGGCACCCUCCGAUGUGCCUGCCGCUCCCCAUGAUCAUCAUCAGAUGCUCGCCGAAAGGCCGCCGCCCAGAUCGACCAAGGUGCUCGCAGCCUCUAUAAGAAUGAAAAGCUUCGGCCUCUAUCUGGCGAGUUCGACAACAUGAUCCACGACCACCAGUGUGUCAUACUCUACGCGAACCUUGGGAACAUCCGCGCGCCCAGCGGCGUCACCCCCAACCACAGUGUGCUUGAUCUCAUCUCCAGAGAAAGUGUCCCACUGGAGCGACAAGGUUGCCGCCCGACCUCAUGGGCAUGGGCCGGCUGCUUGAGGCCCUGGGGGAGAUCAAGGAGGCGGUCAAGAUAGAUCCUUCGUAUGGCAGGGCACACCAUCGUCUUGCUACUUUUUACCUCAGACGGUGGUGGCAGGCAAAUACAACAACAGGCCAGUACAAGCACCAACAAUGCAUGGGAACAGCAAAUAUGAGAUCAUUGUUUCAACUUUUUUAGUUAAAAUAAGAGUUUUGAAGUAUCUUGUUUUCUUUUUUCUUUUUUCCUUUUCCCUGUUUUUUUGGGUUGUGGGUGGAUGGCAUGGCACAGCACAUUUGCAUCAGCUCAAUGCCAUACAGCACUGCAUGGUACACUAUGGCGCCUCAGGCCAACAACACUUAAAUAGUUAAACCCCUGUUCCAUA